This 277-nucleotide unclassified non-coding RNA is filed under the name Hevea brasiliensis (rubber tree). Lineage: Eukaryota; Viridiplantae; Streptophyta; Magnoliopsida; Malpighiales; Euphorbiaceae. The record is from RNAcentral.
UUCAAUUCUUAAUCUAUAAGUUUCCAUUCCUAUUUUUUACCAAUUGACUAUUUCACUACCCAGGUUUUUCGAGGCGGAGGUGUUAAAUCUGGCCUUGGACCUUUUUUCUUCCAAUCGGUUGUAUUCGAUCUGAAGCUAACUAGUAUAGCGUAAAUAUGAGGGAAAAGCUAUGGUUUUCAUUGUGUGUGUGGCUUUUGCUGUGUGGGUCUUGCUUGGGUAGGUUUGUGGUUGAGAAGAACAGCUUGAAAGUGACUGUUCCAGAUUCAGUGAAGGGGGC